AUUGAACGCUGGCGGCAGGCCUAACACAUGCAAGUCGAACGGUAACAGGAAACAGCCUGCUGUUUCGCUGACGAGUGGCGGACGGGUGAGUAAUGUCUGGGAAACUGCCUGAUGGAGGGGGAUAACUACUGGAAACGGUAGCUAAUACCGCAUAACGUCGCAAGACCAAAGAGGGGGACCUUCGGGCCUCUUGCCAUCGGAUGUGCCCAGAUGGGAUUAGCUAGUAGGUGGGGUAACGGCUCACCUAGGCGACGAUCCCUAGCUGGUCUGAGAGGAGGACCAGCCACACUGGAACUGAGACACGGUCCAGACUCCUACGGGAGGCAGCAGUGGGAAAUAUUGCACAAUGGGCGCAAGCCUGAUGCAGCCAUGUCGCGUGUAUGAAGAAGGCCUUCGGGUUGUAAAGUACUUUCAGCGGGGAGGAAGGGAGUAAAGUUAAUACCUUUGCUCAUUGACGUUACCCGCAGAAGAAGCACCGGCUAACUCCGUGCCAGCCGCCGCCGUAA
This 506-nucleotide ribosomal RNA is filed under the name uncultured bacterium. RNAcentral's name for it is "partial 16S ribosomal RNA". It matches the Rfam family "Bacterial small subunit ribosomal RNA", at positions 30 to 523 of the family's 1533-position model. The record is from RNAcentral.